Onychostoma macrolepis is the source of this 427-nucleotide long non-coding RNA. RefSeq lists it as uncharacterized. Lineage: Eukaryota; Metazoa; Chordata; Actinopteri; Cypriniformes; Cyprinidae. The record is from RefSeq and is a predicted model, not a curated record. The transcript has 5 exons.
AAAGCGGACGCUCCCUGCUCUCGCUCUCUUUCCUCUGCAGCACGCGCGUGUUCGGCCUGCCUCAGACACGCAGGACAGAUCAGCUCAAGUAAAGCGUGUUCAUCAUGAAUUGCACGCAAAGAUCCGAUCGCAGCGCUUGCAGACCACCAUGAUAAAUGCUGAAUUCAACGCGACUUGAUCAUGAUUAUCUGCUGGCUGGCUUAUCACUGUGUGAUAAUUAGGCGCAGUUCAUGAAAAUGGUGAACAUCUGCAUCUAAACGCUGAUUCAGCACUGAUCAGAUGGAGCUGAAACCACCAUGAAGUGUCCUGAUUCACCUAGAUAUAGAGCUGUACGUAUGCGCUCAGUGGUGACUGUGGUGAAUGAUGUCAGACCAUGAAACAUCAUCUUUUUACAACAUUUAUUAACAAAUAAAGCAUAUCAAAACGA